Molecule: ribosomal RNA, 574 nt
Filed under: uncultured Bacilli bacterium
Lineage: Bacteria; Bacillati; Bacillota; Bacilli
Description: bacterial SSU rRNA
Rfam family: Bacterial small subunit ribosomal RNA
Source: RNAcentral
AUACAUGCAAGUCGAACGCUUCUUUCCUCCCGAGUGCUUGCACUCAAUUGGAAAGAGGAGUGGCGGACGGGUGAGUAACACGUGGGUAACCUACCCAUCAGAGGGGGAUAACACUUGGAAACAGGUGCUAAUACCGCAUAACAGUUUAUGUCGCAUGGCAUAAGAGUGAAAGGCGCUUUCGGGUGUCGCUGAUGGAUGGACCCGCGGUGCAUUAGCUAGUUGGUGAGGUAACGGCUCACCAAGGCCACGAUGCAUAGCCGACCUGAGAGGGUGAUCGGCCACACUGGGACUGAGACACGGCCCAGACUCCUACGGGAGGCAGCAGUAGGGAAUCUUCGGCAAUGGACGAAAGUCUGACCGAGCAACGCCGCGUGAGUGAAGAAGGUUUUCGGAUCGUAAAACUCUGUUGUUAGAGAAGAACAAGGACGUUAGUAACUGAACGUCCCCUGACGGUAUCUAACCAGAAAGCCACGGCUAACUACGUGCCAGCAGCCGCGGUAAUACGUAGGUGGCAAGCGUUGUCCGGAUUUAUUGGGCGUAAAGCGAGCGCAGGCGGUUUCUUAAGUCUGAUGUG